UUAUACAGCGAAACUGCGAAUGGCUCAUUAAAUCAGUUAUCGUUUAUUUGAUAGUACCUUACUACUUGGAUAACCGUGGUAAUUCUAGAGCUAAUACAUGCUAAAAACCCCGACUCACGAAGGGGUGUAUUUAUUAGAUUAAAAACCAAUGCCCUUCGGGGCUCUUUGGUGAUUCAUAAUAACUUUUCGAAUCGCAUGGCCUUGCGCCGGCGAUGGUUCAUUCAAAUUUCUGCCCUAUCAACUUUCGAUGGCAGGGUCUUGGCCUGCCAUGGUUACAACGGGUAACGGAGGGUUAGGGCUCGACCCCGGAGAAGGAGCCUGAGAAACGGCUACUACAUCCAAGGAAGGCAGCAGGCGCGCAAAUUACCCAAUCCCGAUUCGGGGAGGUAGUGACAAUAAAUACUGAUACAGGGCUCUUUUGGGUCUUGUAAUUGGAAUGAGUACAAUUUAAAUCCCUUAACGAGGAACAAUUGGAGGGCAAGUCUGGUGCCAGCAGCCGCGGUAAUUCCAGCUCCAAUAGCGUAUAUUAAAGUUGUUGCAGUUAAAAAGCUCGUAGUUGAACCUUGGGCCUGGCUGGCCGGUCCGCCUCACCGCGUGCACUGGUUCGGCCGGGCCUUUCCCUCUGGGGAACCUCAUGGUCUUCACUGAUCGUGAUGGGGAACCAGGACUUUUACUGUGAAAAAAUUAGAGUGUUCAAAGCAGGCCUAUGCUCGAAUACAUUAGCAUGGAAUAAUAAAAUAGGACGUGUGGUUCUAUUUUGUUGGUUUCUAGGACCGCCGUAAUGAUUAAUAGGGACAGUCGGGGGCAUCAGUAUUCAAUUGUCAGAGGUGAAAUUCUUGGAUUUAUUGAAGACUAACUACUGCGAAAGCAUUUGCCAAGGAUGUUUUCAUUAAUCAGGAACGAAAGUUAGGGGAUCGAAGACGAUCAGAUACCGUCGUAGUCUUAACCAUAAACUAUGCCGACUAGGGAUCGGACGGUGUUACUUAUUGACCCGUUCGGCACCUUACGAGAAAUCAAAGUCU
This 1022-nucleotide ribosomal RNA is filed under the name Pestalotiopsis sydowiana. RNAcentral describes it as "SSU rRNA". It matches the Rfam family "Eukaryotic small subunit ribosomal RNA", at positions 74 to 1106 of the family's 1831-position model. Lineage: Eukaryota; Fungi; Ascomycota; Sordariomycetes; Amphisphaeriales; Sporocadaceae. The record is from RNAcentral.